RNAcentral lists this unclassified non-coding RNA (242 nucleotides) under Hevea brasiliensis (rubber tree). The record is from RNAcentral. Lineage: Eukaryota; Viridiplantae; Streptophyta; Magnoliopsida; Malpighiales; Euphorbiaceae.
CUUCUGUGUGGCUCAAAGCUUCAAAAUAGGUACACAGACUCAGAGUCCCACAGUCACGGAGACCUACCAUCUACCUUACCGACGGCGAAUGGCGGCCGCCAGAGUGAUGUCAGCAACUGCUACAACCAACGCGACGUCGUGUCUGCUCCUCAAAAGAACAUUCUCUUUAAACCAAAAGCCUCACUUCAGCGGAUUCUGCUUCAAUGGGAAAAGACAAGUGUCCUUGUCCUCUUCCAAGAGAU